Molecule: ribosomal RNA, 253 nt
Filed under: uncultured bacterium
Lineage: Bacteria
Description: partial 16S ribosomal RNA
Rfam family: Bacterial small subunit ribosomal RNA
Source: RNAcentral
UACGGAGGGUGCGAGCGUUGUCCGGAAUCACUGGGCGUAAAGGGCGCGUAGGCGGCUCAUGAAGGCUGUGGUGAAAGUCCGGGGCUCAACCUCGGAUCGGCCGUGGCGACUCGUGGGCUGGAGCACUGUAGAGGCGGGUGGAAUUCCGGGUGUAGCGGUGGAAUGCGUAGAGAUCCGGAAGAACACCAGUGGCGAAGGCGGCCCGCUGGCAGUGGCUGACGCUGAAGCGCGACAGCGUGGGGAGCAAACGAGG